Non-coding RNA from Ictidomys tridecemlineatus (thirteen-lined ground squirrel), 4291 nucleotides. The record is from RefSeq and is a predicted model, not a curated record. NCBI's taxonomy places the organism in Eukaryota, Metazoa, Chordata, Mammalia, Rodentia, Sciuridae.
UCCAACCCCCUAUCCAGCCAGCCAUGUAGCCCCCCACAGGAGAACACAGGGAGAAGGCAGAUAUCUGAAAGCCAGAGGACAGCCUCACCAAGAACUGAGCUGGCCAGCACUUUAUUCUGGGACUUCCUGCUUUCCAGAACUAUUUGCCAAACUCCUUAUCAACAAAGGAAAGUGCACUUGGCAUUCAGAGGGGCUGGGGUCUGGGCUCCGAAUGGGGCUGCUGAGGUGGCCAGUCCCAGACACAGGCAUCACCUCCAGGAUGGACCACCAGAGACCAGGCACUACAGAGAGCCGCUUGCUUCUCCCCUCUCUUCCCCACGCGGAGUCCCUUCUCACAGUGAAGAUUUGGUUGCAAGCCCAUGUUUCCAUGUCCCAUCUUCAACAACCCCUGAACCCUUGACCCCCUUCUCUGUGUGCAGAUAUUUGGGAGAACGGAAGAGAUCAAGAGAUCCGGUCACUGGGGGAUUAGCUGCCCUGGGGCUUACAAACCUUGGGCCCCUGGGAGUAACUGCUGUGUCAAAGUGGCCCCUCCCCUGUCCUCCUGGAAGUUCCGUCCCUUCCCUAACAGCUCUGUUACCCAACACCCAGUCGGGAGAGCGGCCAGUUUGUGCUGUGGGUGAUCUCAUUAGAAUGGAGGAGGUGAGUCAACAGAGACAAAGGCCUUCUAGCCUGCAAUCUGAGAAGAGGGUUAAGAAGAACAAAGCCAAGGGGAGAAAUGUAACCAAGAACUAUCUCUUUAUUGCUUUUGAGUUGUUUAAGGGGGUUUUAAGGGAUUAAGGCUAAAGAAACGUUGGCUGUAAGCAGAGGAGCGGUAUCAGCGGAACAGAGCUUUGUGCUGACUCAGAGGAGAAGCAGCAAAAGGAAAUGUCAGCAGAGGUGGCGGCAGGGGCCGGGCUGGGAGCUAACGAGUUCUGGAGGCUGGAGGUCUGAGAUCAGAGUGAGAGCUCCCCCAAAUUCCUGAAGGAAACCCUGGGAGGAACCUCACCAUAAGCACCAAGAAGGGCCGAGGCCGUGUGGGAGCAGAGUGGGAGCUGACAGCUGCCCACACCUCACUGUCCCUCCCAUCCUUGCAGCCAGCCUGCCAGGUAGAACGUGCCUGAGCUGGAGCUCCAUCACAGCAGGCCGGCGGCCUACCCUGGCAGACACCCACCUGCCUGCUGCCUGCUUCCCACCAGCCACGUUCGCUUCCUCUUGAAAGCCCAUCCGGAACUUUCCGCACAGCCUAGGACCUGCCAGCAGGAAGCUGGAGAAGAGGGUUGCUCACCUUUCUUGGCUCUUUCUCUUUCUAAUCUGCAAGAGGAGUUGGGAAACGGAUGUGCCUAGUGAUUAUCUCAUUAUCAGUUUACCCGAACAACCACAAUUACCAAGGAAGAUGAAUCUUGACAGAAAAAAAAGAAACCCACAGGCUCACUCUCUCCUGGGCCCUGAUCCUCCGCGGGAAAGUUGGGUAAGAUCUCAAGUUGCUGCAGCUGAAGCCAGAGACAAUCUGUACUCUAACUCAGAGGGUUUCCUUCAUAACUUUAAAAGAUGAAUAGCUGGAUGCACAACGUGGGACAUCAGCAAGCAGAUUCUCUUUCCUUUGUGUGGUGACUGAUGCCCUGGGACAAGUCCAGGAACAAGUCCAGCACAGGGAGUCUGUAAGGAGUAGGAAGGGCUGGAACUGGGCUGGAGGAGCUGAUCUCAAGGUCCUGCUGGACACCAGGCUGCCGCCAGCGUGAGGAGUGAAGGCAGCUGCUGUGGCACCCUGUGGAUGAGACCAGUGGGCACCUGGUGUGAGGUGCUGAGCCUAGAGUCUGUCCACACCUCUCCCCUGCUUGGGCUCCAGGUCACUCACAGAGGCCUCAGCCUCAGGAAGAAAGCCAGAGAGGGGUGGGAUGGUUCAGAGAGACCUACAGGGCCACGUUCAGCUAGGCCUUGCGUCCAGCAUUAAGCACAUUACUGUGACCUGUGUGUUGGACGCACACUAGAGGGAUCUGAGCUCUGACUUAUGUUCCUAGAAGACCAUCUGGCUGUUGUCCAGAGGAGGUGUAUAGGGGAUGGCAAGAGUGGGCAGAGAGGCCUAUGGAGAGUCCACUGUAGAGGUCCAGACUGGGCAGAGUGGUAGUGAAGGUCAGCGAGGAAUCAUCGUGGAGACCAAGGGACACGUUUAUUAGACUUGCUGAUGGAUUAGAUAUGGGGAGCAGGAGGGAGGGAGACAUCAGCAUUGAUUUCCCCUGUAUUUGAACUUGAGGAACUAACUAGAUGGCUGUAAUGGAGAAGUUUAGGGAGGAGUUGGUGGGAGAGUAGAUGACCUAGAGAGUCACAUCCUGGCUCAGCCGUGUCAUGUCUCAGGCAUUAAAUUGCCAAGCGGAGUCCUCAAGUGGACAGGAAAGUGUGUGGCAUUCUCCUGAUAGGCCUGGGCAAGCAGUGUGAGCUUGCCAGCGUGUAGACGAGGUUUAAUGCUGUGUCUAGGGUGUGGGUGGCCAGAGGUGCCGACUUAGGAUCCAGCUCUCUCCCUCCAAGUGACAGAUAGACCCAAGGGCCUGUGUCAGCCAAGGUCCAGUGGAGAGGCAGACCCCACCUACAGGAUUUAAAGAGGUAGGGUGCUCAUGAAGAGCUUCACCUGCACACUGCAUAGUCCACUGGGCUGGAGACAAGGACAAGGACCUGCUUGCCGCAGUCUGGCUGGGCACAAAAUCACGAGCCACUCAAGCAGGAACAAACUUUUAUUUCUGAAACUCCUGCCAAUGCCACGCCCGCUACCGGGAAAUAUGCCGAACCACACAUGCGGCAUUCUCCCGGGCCACACUACACCAACAGGAAAAUCCCUUCUCCGGAAAUCCCUCCUACCGCAUUUCCCCAACCAAUGGGAACUCUUAGGGAGUCCCGCUAGAGCUCCAAAGUAGCAGGCCAAGGCAGACAGCAGGUUCUAAUAUCCAAUUGAAUGCAGUUCUUAACAUAAUCAUAUCAUCUCAAUGUCUUGCUGGCAUGCCUUUGUUUCCAAACACUGUCCUUCCGCAUGCUGUGCAGUGGUGAGUCAGAUCCUCCUCUGUGUUGGGACCAGUCACCCCAUGGCUACCAGAACAGGACACUCUUCCUUGCCUGUUUGGGGGGUUCUGCAGGUCACAUUCCUUCCUCACGCUGUCCUGGGUUGGGCUUCGCCAGUGCAAAGCUCCAGAGCCUGCCUUCAGGAUGGGGUGCAAUGGGGCGCCCCCUCGGUGUGUGCUUCCCUGCCUGUGAGUGACACCCAGGGGCAUCUUCCUGUGGCAGCAGCAGUUCCUUUCAGCAGAAGCUUUGCAUUUGGUGUGACAGUUGCUGUGGACCCCCCUCAGAGACUACAGCCCUGGCAGGGCAGGUACUGUCCCAGCCCUGCUCUGAGUUCCCAGGUUCUGAACGUUCUACCCUUCCUCUGCUGCCUCCUGCAGUUAGCGGGUGCUGAGAGCCAUAGCCCCAGCACCACCCAGCUGCGCCCAGAGCCUCCGUGAUUGACGACUGGCACAGCCGCCCUGAACACUCUUGGGCACACUUGUGAAUUCGCACAGCCACAAGUGGCUCUGCGCUGCCCUCCCCACCACGACUACCUACAGACAGACGGUGCGGCUCUCACGGGGCAUACCAAGGAGGUGCCAAUCCCCAGUCAGGCGCUUCCUGCCUAUGCCACUCGAUCCAUUCAAAACCCUAUCUGAAUGUUCUACCUAGAUACUAAAAUAUGAAGUUAAUCUGUGACAAAACUUAUCCACCACAGUAAGUAAAGACCAGAGCGUCCUUAGCAUGUGCACAUCCACGUGAGGAAGCUGUCUACAGACGGUCGGGCGCCUAGUCCUGGUCAGGAGGUGGUGGCUGAAAUGCAUGAACGUCCUCCUCCAGCCGGUCAGGACCCUUUACCUGUAGAGUGACGCUCAGAAGAUCUGAACCUGCCCAGGGCUUGCCCACAUCUGCUGAGGCUUCCAAUUCACUUUAACUGCUAGACGUGGGCACCCAAAGGUGCCUUUGCUUCCAAACACUGUCCUUCCGCACACUGUGCUAUGGUGAGUCAGAUCCUCCUCAGUGUUGGGACCAGUCACUCCAUGGCCACCAGAACAGGACCCUCUUCCUUGCCUGUUUGGGUCUCCAGCCUGGGCAGUCCAGUGGCCAAGUGGCCGGUUCCUCUACCGCUGGACAUUUUCUUUUGGGAAUAAGGCUUCCCAAUCAACAGAUCUCGCCAGGCAUGGUGGCACAUGCCUGUGAUUCCAGAAGCUACGGAGGCUGAGGCAGGAAGGUUGCAAGUUUGAGACUAGCCUCAACAACUUAAGAGAGGCCCUAAGCCAUGAAG